Long non-coding RNA from Pleuronectes platessa (European plaice), 871 nucleotides. RefSeq lists it as uncharacterized. The transcript is spliced from 2 exons. The record is from RefSeq and is a predicted model, not a curated record. NCBI's taxonomy places the organism in Eukaryota, Metazoa, Chordata, Actinopteri, Pleuronectiformes, Pleuronectidae.
CCUCAUUCUAACAGUAUCAUAAAUAGAUCAACUCUUGUUGUGCAAAACGAAUGUGUCCAAGCAGAACCCGCCACCCUGUGAGGUUUGCUCGGGCUACACACGUCAAAAUAAGCAGCACAAGAACUGAAAGCUCAACAUGUCCAGUGAACUCACCUGAGAACGACCACAAUGGGGCUCUCGCUGCCUGUGACCACCAUCAGUCCCUUCCAGAUCAUCAGCGCAGAGGAAACUAUCAUCCCAAAGUUCAGCACCUGGUAAUAGAGCUGCAAACACGAUGCAGAGAACAACACUUCCGUUAGCAGCAGCCCUGCAGAACAUACACCCGCCUAUAAAGCUAGAAUCAUGAGCAGUCAGGUAUAACGUGGCCCCAAUUUAAAAAACACAUGGGGUUUAUUUUGGAUAACACGAAUGCACAUAUGGCGUUAGACCUCAGCUCCCACUGCCAUGGCAGUAGUGUGCUGAGGAGAGGAAACUAGCUAGCUACCCUGAGGUUACUCAUAUAAAACCCUUUAUAUACAGUAUAUGUUUAAAACCGAGGUCUCCAUGCGCUUCAAAAGCUGAAGCGCGAUAUGUUAAACAGUGGGACAGAGCACUUGACUUGGAUAUGCGGCUAACACGAGUCCCGUUGAGGCUGCAGUGAUACAAAGCGCUCGGCGGCUAGUUCCCAUUAGCUCCGACAACACAACAUGGCUCUAGCAGAAUGAAGCGAGGCUGCUGGUCCUACCUGCCGCUUAUUCAUGCGACGAACAUCGUCCAGGAAGUCUAAAGACAUCAUGGCUACACGGGAGAGGCACAAGGCGUUUGAAUUACACGGAACCCGCCGAUCUAACGAGCAUAUGGAUGAUGCACGGUCACACACAGACCGCUAACG